UACUUGUUCUCCUCCGUCCGGAAAUACUUGUCCUCGAAAUAGAUAGAAUGGAUGUAUCUAUAACUAACAUAAAUCUAGAUACAACUAUUUCGAGAACAAGUAUUUCCGGACAGAGGGAGUAAAAU
Non-coding RNA from Triticum aestivum (bread wheat), 125 nucleotides. NCBI's taxonomy places the organism in Eukaryota, Viridiplantae, Streptophyta, Magnoliopsida, Poales, Poaceae. The record is from Rfam.